This 497-nucleotide ribosomal RNA is filed under the name uncultured bacterium. RNAcentral describes it as "partial 16S ribosomal RNA". It matches the Rfam family "Bacterial small subunit ribosomal RNA", at positions 28 to 507 of the family's 1533-position model. The record is from RNAcentral.
GAUGAACGCUGGCGGCGUGCCUAAUACAUGCAAGUCGAGCGAACAGACGAGGAGCUUGCUCCUCUGACGUUAGCGGCGGACGGGUGAGUAACACGUGGAUAACCUACCUAUAAGACUGGGAUAACUUCGGGAAACCGGAGCUAAUACCGGAUAAUAUAUUGAACCGCAUGGUUCAAUAGUGAAAGACGGUUUUGCUGUCACUUAUAGAUGGAUCCGCGCCGCAUUAGCUAGUUGGUAAGGUAACGGCUUACCAAGGCAACGAUGCGUAGCCGACCUGAGAGGGUGAUCGGCCACACUGGAACUGAGACACGGUCCAGACUCCUACGGGAGGCAGCAGUAGGGAAUCUUCCGCAAUGGGCGAAAGCCUGACGGAGCAACGCCGCGUGAGUGAUGAAGGUCUUCGGAUCGUGAAACUCUGUUAUUAGGGAAGAACAAAUGUGUAAGUAACUAUGCACGUCUUGACGGUACCUAAUCAGAAAGCCACGGCUAACUACGUA